AUCCAGCCAAAAAGUCCCAAACAGGACGAAAUGCGUGUUCUGGAU
Molecule: non-coding RNA, 45 nt
Filed under: Schistosoma margrebowiei
Lineage: Eukaryota; Metazoa; Platyhelminthes; Trematoda; Strigeidida; Schistosomatidae
Source: RNAcentral